AACAAACCAAUCUUUCACUUUUUACCUAUAAUGUUUGACUCUUCGUCUUAUUUAAAAAAAAAUUACGAUUAAUAUUUUUGUUUUUAUUAGAUGAUAAAUCAUGAAUAGUACUUUACGCGUGACUAAUUUUUUUUAAUUUCUUUAAAAAAUUUCAAAUAAGACGGAUGGUCAAACGCUAGACACGGAAACCAAAAGAUUGGUUUGUU
Molecule: non-coding RNA, 206 nt
Organism: Oryza brachyantha (malo sina)
Lineage: Eukaryota; Viridiplantae; Streptophyta; Magnoliopsida; Poales; Poaceae
Source: Rfam